AUUGAACGCUGGCGGCAGGCUUAACACAUGCAAGUCGAGCGGAGACUUCGGUCUUAGCGGCGAACGGGUGAGUAAUACCUAGGAAUCUGCCUAUUAGUGGGGGAUAACGAAUCGAAAGGUUCGCUAAUACCGCAUACGUCCUACGGGAGAAAGGGGGGGAUCUUCGGACCUCUCGCUAAUAGAUGAGCCUAGGCCGGAUUAGCUAGUUGGUAGGGUAAAGGCCUACCAAGGCGACGAUCUGUAGCUGGUCUGAGAGGAUGGCCAGCCACACUGGAACUGAGACACGGUCCAGACUCCUACGGGAGGCAGCAGUGGGGAAUAUUGGACAAUGGGGGCAACCCUGAUCCAGCCAUGCCGCGUGUGUGAAGAAGGCCUUCGGGUUGUAAAGCACUUUAAGCGAGGAGGAAGGUUUUAGUUUAAUACACUAAAGAAUUGACGUUACUCGCAGAAUAAGCACCGGCUAACUCUGUGCCAGCAGCCGCGGUA
RNAcentral lists this ribosomal RNA (486 nucleotides) under uncultured bacterium. RNAcentral's name for it is "bacterial SSU rRNA". It matches the Rfam family "Bacterial small subunit ribosomal RNA", at positions 30 to 522 of the family's 1533-position model. The record is from RNAcentral.